Molecule: ribosomal RNA, 498 nt
Filed under: Exiguobacterium sp. RHB31
Lineage: Bacteria; Bacillati; Bacillota; Bacilli; Caryophanales
Description: bacterial SSU rRNA
Rfam family: Bacterial small subunit ribosomal RNA
Source: RNAcentral
AGAGUUUGAUCCUGGCUCAGGACGAACGCUGGCGGCGUGCCUAAUACAUGCAAGUCGAGCGCAGGAAGCUCACGGAACUCUUCGGAGGGAAGUGAAGGGAAUGAGCGGCGGACGGGUGAGUAACACGUAAGGAACCUGCCCCAAGGAUUGGGAUAACUCCGAGAAAUCGGAGCUAAUACCGAAUAGUUCUUCAGACCGCAUGGUCUGAUGAUGAAAGGCGCUCCGGCGUCACCUUGGGAUGGCCUUGCGGUGCAUUAGCUAGUUGGUGGGGUAAUGGCCCACCAAGGCGACGAUGCAUAGCCGACCUGAGAGGGUGAUCGGCCACACUGGGACUGAGACACGGCCCAGACUCCUACGGGAGGCAGCAGUAGGGAAUCUUCCACAAUGGACGAAAGUCUGAUGGAGCAACGCCGCGUGAGUGAUGAAGGUUUUCGGAUCGUAAAACUCUGUUGUAAGGGAAGAACAAGUACGAGAGGUAAUGCUCGUACCUUGACGGUA